GGGAACUUGAGUGCAGAAGAGGAGAGUGGAAUUCCACGUGUAGCGGUGAAAUGCGUAGAGAUGUGGAGGAACACCAGUGGCGAAGGCGACUCUCUGGUCUGUAACUGACGCUGAGGAGCGAAAGCGUGGGGAGCGAACAGGAUUAGAUACCCUGGUAGUCCACGCCGUAAACGAUGAGUGCUAAGUGUUAGGGGGUUUCCGCCCCUUAGUGCUGCAGCUAACGCAUUAAGCACUCCGCCUGGGGAGUACGGUCGCAAGACUGAAACUCAAAGGAAUUGACGGGGGCCCGCACAAGCGGUGGAGCAUGUGGUUUAAUUCGAAGCAACGCGAAGAACCUUACCAGGUCUUGACAUCCUCUGACAAUCCUAGAGAUAGGACGUCCCCUUCGGGGGCAGAGUGACAGGUGGUGCAUGGUUGUCGUCAGCUCGUGUCGUGAGAUGUUGGGUUAAGUCCCGCAACGAGCGCAACCCUUGAUCUUAGUUGCCAGCAUUCAGUUGGGCACUCUAAGGUGACUGCCGGUGACAAACCGGAGGAAGGUGGGGAUGACGUCAAAUCAUCAUGCCCCUUAUGACCUGGGCUACACACGUGCUACAAUGGACAGAACAAAGGGCAGCGAAACCGCGAGGUUAAGCCAAUCCCACAAAUCUGUUCUCAGUUCGGAUCGCAGUCUGCAACUCGACUGCGUGAAGCUGGAAUCGCUAGUAAUCGCGGAUCACCAGGCCGCGGGGAAUACGUUCCCGGGCCUUGUACACACCGCCCGUCACACCACGAGAGUUUGUAACACCCGAAGUCGGUGAG
RNAcentral lists this ribosomal RNA (798 nucleotides) under Bacillus subtilis subsp. subtilis. RNAcentral's name for it is "bacterial SSU rRNA". It matches the Rfam family "Bacterial small subunit ribosomal RNA", at positions 636 to 1434 of the family's 1533-position model. The record is from RNAcentral. Lineage: Bacteria; Bacillati; Bacillota; Bacilli; Caryophanales; Bacillaceae.